UACGCAGGGUGCAAGCGUUAAUCGGAAUUACUGGGCGUAAAGCGCGCGUAGGCGGCCCUGUUAGUCCGCUGUAAAAGUCAAAGGCUCAACCUUUGAAUGCCGGUGGAUACUGCAGGGCUAGAGUCCGGAAGAGGCGAGUGGAAUUCCUGGUGUAGCGGUGAAAUGCGCAGAUAUCAGGAGGAACACCGGUGGCGAAGGCGGGUCUCUGGGCCGAUACUGACGCUGAGGAGCGAAAGCGUGGGGGAGCGAACAGG
This 254-nucleotide ribosomal RNA is filed under the name uncultured bacterium. RNAcentral's name for it is "partial 16S ribosomal RNA". It matches the Rfam family "Bacterial small subunit ribosomal RNA", at positions 524 to 776 of the family's 1533-position model. The record is from RNAcentral.